UUAUUUAGGAAGUACGGAUACUAAAAUUGGGUUGACACAGAGAAGAUCAACACAGCCCCUGCACAGGGUGAUAUGUACAUUCUUGAACCAUUUUCCAUAUUC
Perognathus longimembris pacificus (Pacific pocket mouse) is the source of this 102-nucleotide small nuclear RNA. The record is from RefSeq and is a predicted model, not a curated record. NCBI's taxonomy places the organism in Eukaryota, Metazoa, Chordata, Mammalia, Rodentia, Heteromyidae.